Pyrus x bretschneideri (Chinese white pear) is the source of this 770-nucleotide long non-coding RNA. RefSeq lists it as uncharacterized. The record is from RefSeq and is a predicted model, not a curated record. Lineage: Eukaryota; Viridiplantae; Streptophyta; Magnoliopsida; Rosales; Rosaceae. The transcript has 2 exons.
UAUAUAACACUUCCACAUGCUUAUUUCACUUCAUUAUUUUUUGCAUUCCAGUUGGUCUUUGUUUCGUUCUCAGAUAGUUAUCAGCAUAGAGAAAGUAAAAUUCCGUUCUUGGCUCUCUUUUUUGUUACUGUAGCAUCUGCUUAUCUGUUAGUGUAAAUUUGCGUUAUGUUGGAUUUUUCAAUUUGAUUCUCCAAUAUAUUUUUUUGAUGACAAACUGUUCUAAUCAGUAAUUCCCCACUCUGAGAACUUGAGACCUUCGACUGAUAUGCAUUUCUGAGAUUUUCUGGUAUACUCACAGACCCCUGAGAUUUUUGUGUCUCCACAGUUCUCCAGCCAAUGACAGACCCCUGGUUGCCAUACUUUCGUUGCACGCAGAUCUUCUGUCCAGUCGUGCAGAAGACAUCUCCAUUAACCGGUAACAGAUGAAAUCGUUUGCUGUCGAGGUUCCCGUGAAGAAGAGCGAAAAUGCUGCAAGUGGAGGAUAGAUAACAGCUCAAGACACAUGGUAUGAGGGUGCAGGGUAAACUGUACAUAUGCAUCUGGAAAAAGUAAAAAGUUAAGGCUGUUUGGUUGUAGCUUCUCCUUCUCACCACAACAGAAAAUACUUUUGAACUGCAUUAAGCUGUUAAAAAAUUAAGCUUAAGCUAUAUUUUACUUAUCAAAAAUGGGUUACCUGUCACUUUUACAAAGUUUUUUGGUAAAUUAGAUAUAUAGUUUAAUUCGAAGAGUUGUAUUGACCUUUACUUAUGUUAAAUUAUAUAGUUUAAUUA